UAGGGAAUCUUCCACAAUGGACGAAAGUCUGAUGGAGCAACGCCGCGUGAGUGAAGAAGGGUUUCGGCUCGUAAAACUCUAGUUGUUAAAGAAGAACAUAUCUGAGAGUAACUGUUCAGGUAUUGACGGUAUUUAACCAGAAAGCCACGGCUAACUACGUGCCAG
RNAcentral lists this ribosomal RNA (165 nucleotides) under uncultured bacterium. RNAcentral describes it as "partial 16S ribosomal RNA". It matches the Rfam family "Bacterial small subunit ribosomal RNA", at positions 355 to 511 of the family's 1533-position model. The record is from RNAcentral.